This 484-nucleotide ribosomal RNA is filed under the name uncultured bacterium. Its description in RNAcentral is "partial 16S ribosomal RNA". It matches the Rfam family "Bacterial small subunit ribosomal RNA", at positions 29 to 507 of the family's 1533-position model. The record is from RNAcentral.
AUUGAACGCUGGCGGCAUGCUUUACACAUGCAAGUCGAACGGCAGCGCGGGCUUCGGCCUGGCGGCGAGUGGCGAACGGGUGAGUAAUGCAUCGGAACGUGCCCAGUAGUGGGGGAUAGCCCGGCGAAAGCCGGAUUAAUACCGCAUACGACCUGAGGGUGAAAGCGGGGGACCGAAAGGCCUCGCGCUACUGGAGCGGCCGAUGUCGGAUUAGCUAGUUGGUGGGGUAAAGGCUUACCAAGGCGACGAUCCGUAGCUGGUCUGAGAGGACGACCAGCCACACUGGGACUGAGACACGGCCCAGACUCCUACGGGAGGCAGCAGUGGGGAAUUUUGGACAAUGGGGGCAACCCUGAUCCAGCCAUGCCGCGUGCGGGAAGAAGGCCUUCGGGUUGUAAAACGCUUUUGUUCGGGAAGAAAUCCUCUGGGCUAAUACCCCGGGGGGAUGACGGUACCGGAAGAAUAAGCACCGGCUAACUACGUG